Molecule: long non-coding RNA, 1478 nt
Filed under: Helianthus annuus (common sunflower)
Lineage: Eukaryota; Viridiplantae; Streptophyta; Magnoliopsida; Asterales; Asteraceae
Description: hypothetical non coding rna
Source: RNAcentral
UUAUAUUCUUAUCCAAAUAGAAUUCAGAUGUUUGUGACGUUUGGGUAUCACUAUUUAUAGGCCUUAACGUAAAAGGGGUAGAAGAAGAAAUGUGCUUCCUAUAUAUGUAAAAACAAAUGUGAUAUUUAGAGUUUUGUAUAUGUGACACUACGUGCAUAAUGUAUAUAACUACAAGAAAGUUGGCUUUUAGCGACGACCCCUUUAGCGGCGACAUCAAAGAAGUCGUCGCUAAAAGGCCAAUCCGUGUCCAGAUUCUAAAACAAAUCCCUGACCGUUGAUGUUGUGUGCAAUCUGACGGUCCAUGUUUUAUUGUUGCUUUAGGUGUACAAAACCUGUGGCGGGCAAACCAAUCACUCAUUCCCCCAAAUCGAUCCAUCAGCCCUACCCCAAACCUAAGAUGCCACCAGAUUGAUUCAACUCGGCCACAACCGUUCGCUCACUGCCACGAUCUACAUUGUUCGGACUCAUCUCACAUAUCCUCAGCCGCUUGCUCGACACACCACGUCCACUGCACCAGGUACCUUCCUUUUCCUCAAUUUUAUUGCUUUGGUUUUCCUAUUUAUGUGGUAAUUGAACACAUUAGGGUUCAGUUGGUUGGUUUUAUGGAUGAAGUAUAGAGCAAAAAUAUGGGGGGGGGGGGGGUGAUAUAUUGGAUUAUGUUCUUGUUUUUGAUGUACACUUGGGAUUUAGGGUGUAAGUAAUGUUGUCUGCACGUUUUGUAAGGAUUAUGUAUGUUGUUUUUGAACGGAUUAUGCAAGUUUUGAUGUACAAAUGUUUUUUGCUAUAUUGAUAGGAUUCUAAAGUAUAAUAAUGUUGGGGGCAGGGCUAAGAGAGGGGAUGUCGAGAUUAUGAGAGGGCAGUGCCGAUAUGGUGGCAUGAGUGGGUCUCGGUUUGACUUUGGUUAAUUGUUUUUCGGGGCAGGUUUGACUUUGCUUAGUUGUUUAGAUGCUUGCUGAACGUUGUGAGGUUUAUUAUUGACUUUGGUUAAUUGUUCUUAAAAACUAAUUGGCAAAAAAGAGCACAAAUAGGAUCUCCAUGUGUGAAAUGAAGCUCCCCUUUAUGACUUUGGUUAACUGUUCUUGAAAUGAAGCAAUCUUGUUAAUGUCUUAUAAGGGAACACUUCCUUUUUAAACUAAAAUUUAAAGAGUAAAUGGUUUAUUUUCCCGGAUUUUAACUUUUUCUUCUUAGAAAAUUAGUGGUUUUCUCUCAGGUUUUUGUUGGCACUAGAUUGCAUGUCACUGGAGGUGCUCUUAAGGGAGGGCGUGUGGUAGAUGGUGAAUCGGCUAUUGCAGUUUUGGACACUGCUGCUGGAGUUUGGUUAGAUAGACAUGGCUUGGUGACUUCUUCACAUAAUGACAAUGAACAAAAUGAAGAUUCGUCUUUAGAUCUCAUGCGUCGUUGUCGGCAUGCAUGGUAGCAUUAGUUAUUGUGUGUCAUAAAUUUCAUUAACUUUGUUUUGCUCUAAUAAUAUAUGCAUU